Long non-coding RNA from Manacus vitellinus (golden-collared manakin), 1039 nucleotides. RefSeq lists it as uncharacterized. The transcript has 4 exons. The record is from RefSeq and is a predicted model, not a curated record. NCBI's taxonomy places the organism in Eukaryota, Metazoa, Chordata, Aves, Passeriformes, Pipridae.
ACGGCAGCCUGAGAUAUGUUGGGUUACGGGAGCUGCCGGUUGUCUGUUACUGAUAAGGCUUUAAGUUGCUCUUGAUUGCAGCUUUUGAACUUUCUAUACAGGUCUGGCUGAGCAGGAGGGAAUCCUAUUUCCAGCUGUGCUUUGCAGUACCCAGAGCGCUUCGAGAGUAUGUCUGACUUUUUACACCAAGGAACAAACAGUUUGUAAUUCUCCACAACAGCAACAACUUCAUACAUUUCUUGCAUAGAAUACCUGGAAACAGAAAUAGGAAUGUUACAGUUACAAGGAAGAAGAAAAUCUUGAGAACUACAAUAUAACCUAUGAGCAAACAUUAGCAUGGAUUUGGGACAGAAUGAAACAGAGUUUUCACACUUCUUGGUUUAUUCAUGUUUUACCAGAUGAAAUUAUAAGUGUAUUACUCCCUUUCAAGUGGUGCAGCAAUGUUGAAGAAAUUCCUUGAAAAAGUCUGGCUCGUUACAGGUACUUGCAAAGGAGAAGUUCUGGUCAUCAGAACACCACAAGAAGCCAAGUGCCUGAAACAGUGAAAAUGCUUUUAGAUGUGUUUCAUAUCAGCAAAAUAAGUAACAGCACAUUCAAGUGGGACAAACAACCUGUUGUAUAACAUUCCAGAAAAUGUCUGUCAGAUGGAAAAGCAAAGGCUCAUAACAGUACACAAACUGUCAAACAUUUCUUUUCCUUAAGAGAAACUAAAAACAGCCCCCAGUCAUGACAAAAGUAACUGGCAGAGUGAAACACAGAGGCCCUCAUUAAACACUUGAACACAUGGCAGCCUGAGUUCAUGUACAAGUCUCAUAUGCACUUAAUUUGCAGAACAGGUUUUCCUGAUAGCAAAAUCAAGGUUUGCAAUACUUAUCCCUUUUGGAAUACACAAAGUAGAGAAGAUUUCACUUGGAGAUACAAAGUUGAACUCUGGUGCCAUCCUUCUCUUAAAAGGACAGUUUAAUUUUGAAAGUCCAUUCGGAAGGUGCAUUGUUACCCAGCUUUCCAAAUUUCCUUCAGAAAAUAUAAUCAAAACCUU